UAACAAUAUUUGAAUCGCUUUAUUUAAUCUACAUUACUAUGUUAGCACUCAACAUUCUCAUAGCCAUGUCCUAUUUACAACAUAUUGUGGUGUUUGUUCUAACACAUUGUUUAAGAAAUGACCUGAAAACUUUUUUUUUCCUUUAAAAAUCCAACAAUGUAAGAGAAUUUGAAAUUUAUAAUGCAGAAUUUUUUUUAUUCAAGGCAUUCAUUGCAACAUUAUUGAAAAGAUGUGCCGCAUACAAAAUAAACGGUUUGCUAUAGUACAAACUGAUUUAAAUUAAAUGCAUAAUGUUUUGAUAUAGGAAAUAGAAUACCAAUCUUAGAAUAUAUAUAUAUACAGAGAACAGCAGUGUAACAAAUGAAUGCAUUAAAAUAGUUAUGUACACGAGGUAAAGACACCUUUAGAGUUUGCGGAGAUUGUUAAAAUAUUUCAUAAUUGUGAUGGCACUACAGGAAUUAAAGGAAUGCAUUAUAUGGCACAGUCCAGAGAAAUAUAAAAGUUACUAGAGAAACUUUUCCUUAUUAGGUUUGCUACAAUCAAUUUUCGUCCCAGCAUCCUGAAUGUAUUGUAAAAAGAAAUAUAUAAAGUGUGUUAAAGAAUUGGUCAGACUUUACUUAAAGAAUGUAUUACCAACUCUUGAAAAGUGUAGUAUCCUAUUUAAAAAAAAGUAAGAAAUAUAUUAUUUUCAAAGUUAAAAUGCUAGUGCUGUAUGACAUUUCAUAUUGGGGAUAUCCAGCAUUGUGAAAUUAAUGAAAAGGUGCUUUAACCCCUUAAGGACCAAACUUCGGGAAUAAAAGGGAAUCAUGACAUGUCACGUACCCUUAAGGGGUUAAACAACAUGAUUUUAUCAUCUAGAAUGUUAUGUAGCAAAUUACUGACAUUGGUGGUAUGCACUGUAGAAUAAUCUCCAUGGAAAGUUGAUAUUUGAAUUUGGACAAUAAAAUUAAGAUACUUUCACAAUAAUCCUUUGUACACUAAGCAUAUACAAUAAAUCAUGACAGUUUGCCAUGGCAUUAUAAUUACAAUUUUCAAAGAAGCAAAUAUAUUUAUAUUCAUCAGCAUAAUAACUGAAAUAUGUGUUUUGUUAACCUGCUCCAAGCUGACACAGUCGGAUGGGCUAGUGCACUCCUGUAUUAGCCAAAUUCUAGCAGAGGGGCUAUGCUGUAGGUUCCAGAAGAGCAGUGGUCUUUAUCAAACUAUUUGAAAAUUGUAUUUUGUCCCCAUGUUUUUUCAAUGGAUCUUCGCACCAUUUAAAGUACAAUGAGCUGAAAUGGUUAUACACAUAGUGCCUCUUUUAGAUAUAAAUGUGGAUGAACCACACCUGUAUCUAGCUUGUAAAAGUAAAAAUAUUUUACAUUUUGAAGAAUUUAUACUAUAAACAUCCAAGUGAAAUUACAAAAGAAAGCUUAAAAAUCAAAUAUUUUGGUAAUUUAAAUAGGAACAUUCUGCGCAUGUGAUAAGAUAUUUAUUGGUCCUUACACUAUGUACAUAAAUUAGAGCAAUUUACUACAAAUAAUAAAAACACACUCACUACUGUGCAAGAAUUAAACUAUAGGAUAACAGAACAUUUAUCAUUUAUGCAUAAAUAAAAACAAACAAAAAUAAAACACUUUUGCUUACUCCAUUAUAACACUGUUUACUCAACAAGAAAAAUUAAGGAAAAUUAACAUUUAGAAUAGUUUUUAUUUAAAAAAACAAAAACAAACACAAAUCUCUAAAUAGUGAUGCAGACUAUUUUGGAAUUGAUUAAUUGGCACUUCAAUUUUGAUGACUGAAUGCUACAUAAAAGUAAUGGUCGGUACAAAAUACAUUAACUGAACUUAUAAAGCGAAAAUGCAUCACUACAUUAACCUAGUACAGGCAGACACCUAUAGUCAAAAAUAUAUAUGUAUAUACACAAAACCCAUGUAAAUAUAUAUAUAUAUAUAUAUAUAUAUAUAUAUAUAUAUAUAUAUAUAUAUAUAUAUAUAUAUAUAUAUAUAUAUAUAUAUAUAUAUAUAUAAACACAUGAUCAAAAGUAAUUUGGGUUCUCUAGAUUUCAUAUCAGCAGUAUGGAAGAUUGAGGUGUGUUUCCUACCUUGCAUCACAUUUCCCAGAUUUGUGACUGCCCACCAUCUAGUUCCUGUUUUGCAUAUUAGCUCCUCUUUAGGAACAUUUUGGUCUGAUUUUGGAAACAUGUCAAUAUGUCCACAUAUAUGUAUACAAAUGUACCGAAACAUAACAAAAUACAUUAAAAACACGCAUACAGUCAUGUCAAAGUCCAAUAGAAGGCUGAACUUUUUGCAUAAUAUGUUUACGGUCGCAUGUGUACUCCACCAAAAAUUCCUCAUAAUUAGAAGCGCUAACACAUUAUGCAUUUAAGAAAGGAUAGUAAGAACAAACAAUACAUGUAUGUAUGCACUGUAUUGCACACGCACACACAAUUCAAACUAUUUUAUUUAGUGGCAAUUCUGACUAUAGGCACUGGGACUGAUUGGGUACAGCCUAAAAUUACUGUAAACCACUGGAGGAAACCUGGAAUCACAUCUGUGUAUCAUCUUGAUAUAGAACACAGGUAGGGACCUGAAAUGUUUUCCACAAAAUUAAUUUAUUUUAAAACUAGAAAAAGAUUAUAGUUUGAGGAUCCAUAAGUGUCCCAGUUAGAAAAAAAAAAAAAACACCAAGCAACCAUAACAACCACAGUGUGCAGCAAUGGUUAUUUGCAUCCCCCUUCCCCCCUAAAUUGUAAAUGGUCAAGCCAUUUUCUGUUUGACUUCUUACCAUGACUUCUCCCUGCACCUUACUUUCUGGCCUGAGAGCUGGAAGCUCCUGCUAUGUGCUUCUGUUAGCUCUCCUGAGUUAGCCUAGGAGCCAGCCCUGCUCUGUAAGGUUUCAGAUCACUAGUAGCCAACGAGCUUACUCUUGCACCAGCUCUAAAAAGGGAGAGGAAUAGAGCCCAGUGGACCUCUGGCACACACUUUUGUGGUUAUGGUGCUUAGAAUGUUCCUUUAAAGCCUUAUAUACAUACAUACAUUAGGGGUGACCAAAUGGUAAUUAAUAUGCCUUAGAACCAAGCUGAAGUCCUACAUCAUCUUGGGACCACUGGCAUACACACCCCUAUAUAAAUGACAAGCUUUAUCGGCCAAAAAAAAAAAAAAAAGACACUAGGCCCACUGAAUAUUCCAUGACAAUGAGAUUUGUUUUUUGUCAACUGCUAUAUUUCCCUACUUGUCACAUAUAACAGGAUUUUUUAUAAAAGGUUAUAUAUAAUAUGUAUGUGUAUGUAUAACAUACACACAAAGCAUUAGAUAAGUAAAAACAUACUUAUUCCUUUGAUAAAUAUACACUCAAAAAUAAAAACGGUAUUAAUAAUUUCAUAAAUCUCCUUUAAAAUGUUGGUUCAAAUUAUAUAUGUUGUAUUGUAAUACUGUGGUUAUAGUAUUCCUCCUCUAAAAGAGACACACACACACACACACACACACACACACACAAAGAAAAAGAAUGGUUAGAGUGCAAAAAAAAAAGCGACAAAUGAAAACAAAAAUAUAAUAAAUUGCACAAAAUAUUGUCAAAAAAUCAGACAUAAAGGUACCUAUGACCUAUUGAUAAAUUUCCCCCACUGUCUUUUGCCUCAGAAAGUUUUCACAGCAUUACAGUAAAGGGACAGGAACUGAAAUAAUGAAGGCAGCUGAAUAUAUUGGAUGCUUACAGUGGAAAGCAAUGUGACCUAUUAAUUUUGGGCAGGUUAGAGAUAUAUAUAGAUAUAUAUUCAAAUGUGCUGCCCAAAGAAACAGUCAAGUGUGUAUAUGUACUUGUGUGUCUGUUACACUCCAAGGCAGCAAGAAAUUUAUUUAUAUUUUUUUAAAUGUUGCAACACAAGAAGACACAGUGUACUAUGGGAAAUAAAAUGUCUAAAUCUUUUGAAACACCCAUAAACUACUCUACUUUUGGUUUCAUGGUUUUUUUACAUCUCCAGAACACCUCUAGUAAUGCAAAGUUCAAGGUUUUUCAUUUUCUACAAAACACGCAUGCCUUCUUCCUCUAUUCACUGCUCUGUACUUUCCAUAAAGAAUGCUAAGUGUAUGUAUGAUACAGCCGAGGAAGAGUUAUGUGGAUUGUUUAUAAAUAAAUGUUUUACAGCAUGGUCGGGCAUCUGUUUGCAUGUAUCUAUUCAGACUAAAAAUCAAAACACCAACACUACAUUAAGGGGAACAAAGCACUUGUAAAGGCGAACAACUAGCCAUGCAAAGUUAAUUAAUUAGGUUUGCAAUAACUUCAUAUACAGUCCCUAUUUCAUAUAUGUGAACUAAAAACUUUAAAAAAAAGAAGAAGAAAAAAAAAGGAAUUUUCAGCUAUUCUUGGUCAUUCUGCAACCAGACACUUGGUGUUUAAGGUUUCAUGUUGCAAGGGGCAAAAAGAAAGCUUUAAAGCAAAACACUUAAUAGUAUAACAGGUAUCAAACAUAUGAAGUUAGAACAAUGUUCAAUUCACAGAUAGACAGACAACCUAUAGCGCUAAUAACACUCUUCCUGUAAGAAAAUGAAUUCAACAGUAGAGUGCCAGCUGGAAAUCUUAAUUAGCACAAAGAAAUAAUAAACACUCAAAUUAAUGAAUAGAUAAAUGCUUAUCAAACCAACUCCAUAACAAAAAAGUGGUGGUCAAAAACAGAAAAACGUAACUGAAGCCAAGUGGCUAAUCCUCUGCUUAAGAGAUUCCCUAUUGUUCAGACUCUAAUAAUAUUAAUAACACGGUCAAUGUCUGAAAUUGCAUCGUAUUAUAUGUGUGAGCAGAGAAAAAUGUCCAGACCACACUAAUCUAAAUACCCUUGUCUAGAUAUAUAGCUUAAAAUGGAG
RNAcentral lists this long non-coding RNA (4835 nucleotides) under Pelobates cultripes (western spadefoot toad). The record is from RNAcentral. Lineage: Eukaryota; Metazoa; Chordata; Amphibia; Anura; Pelobatidae.